This 807-nucleotide ribosomal RNA is filed under the name uncultured bacterium. RNAcentral's name for it is "bacterial SSU rRNA". It matches the Rfam family "Bacterial small subunit ribosomal RNA", at positions 62 to 894 of the family's 1533-position model. The record is from RNAcentral.
UCGAGCGGCAGCGCGAGUAGUUUACUACUUGGCGGCGAGCGGCGGACGGCUGAGUAACGCGUGGGAACGUACCCCAAAGUGAGGAAUAACUGCCCGAAAGGGUGGCUAAUGCCGCAUAUGGUCUUCGGAUUAAAGGAUUUAUCCGCUUUGGGAACGGCCUGCGUACGAUUAGAUAGUUGGUGGGGUAAAGGCCUACCAAGUCUACGAUCGUUAACUGGUCUGAGAGGAUGAUCAGUCAGACUGGAACUGAGAUACGGUCCAGACUCCUACGGGAGGCAGCAGUGAGGAAUCUUCCACAAUGGACGAAAGUCUGAUGGAGCAACGCCGCGUGCAGGAUGAAGGCCUUCGGGUCGUAAACUGCUUUUAUAAGUGAAGAAUAUGACGGUAGCUUAUGAAUAAGCACCGGCUAACUACGUGCCAGCAGCCGCGGUCAUACGUAGGGUGCAAGCAUUAUCCGGAGUGACUGGGCGUAAAGAGUUGCGUAGGUGGUUUGUUAAGUGAAUUGUGAAAUCUGGUGGCUCAACCACACAGACUAUUAUUCAAACUGACAAACUCGAGAGUAGCAGAGGUAACUGGAAUUUCUAGUGUAGGAGUGAAAUCCGUAGAUAUUAGAAGGAACACCAAUGGCGUAGGCAGGUUACUGGGCUAUUUCUGACACUGAAGCACGAAAGCGUGGGGAGUGAACCGGAUUAGAUACCCGGGUAGUCCACGCCGUAAACGAUGGAUACUAGCUGUUGGAGGUAUCGACCCCUUCAGUAGCGAAGCUAACGCGUUAAGUAUCCCGCCUGUGGAAUACGGUCGCAAGAC